GGCCCCCUCCUUCAUGCUGCUGCCUGCCCAGAAUCUGAGGACAGCAGAGCUCUGCCUCAGCCAGUGCAUGGCCCUAGGGAGGAGGCGCUUAGGGGCAGGCAUGGAGAAUAGGGCCACAGCCCUCCUCUGUGCGGGAAGCCAGGCUGUUGCUGGAAAGGACCCAGAGGCCGAGGAGGUUCCUAUCUGUCCCACCUGCCCCUGGGGUGCAGUGUUGGAGGAGCUCUGUGGGGUUGGAUGGGGUGGCCAGACACAGAGAGAGGCCUGGCAAAACCACCAAUGCUGAAACUAAAGGUACUCCAGCCGACGUGUUUAUUCAGGUCACUUGGGGUUCAGACCCAGCGCGCUGGGAGUGGGGUGCAGCUGGCAGGUGGGCUCACAUCCCAGCGUGGCUGCCAGGGAGGUCCUCAGCCUUAGAGCUCUGCCCAGGGAUGGGGUCAUACAGGAUUAGCUUCUGGGCUGCACACAGAGAGGCUACUAGAGACCCUUGUUUUGAAC
This 495-nucleotide long non-coding RNA is filed under the name Chinchilla lanigera (long-tailed chinchilla). RNAcentral describes it as "lncRNA (ENSCLAG00000029134.1)". Lineage: Eukaryota; Metazoa; Chordata; Mammalia; Rodentia; Chinchillidae. The record is from RNAcentral.